Esox lucius (northern pike) is the source of this 5581-nucleotide long non-coding RNA. NCBI's taxonomy places the organism in Eukaryota, Metazoa, Chordata, Actinopteri, Esociformes, Esocidae. The record is from Ensembl.
AAUGAGUCAGAUUGCUGCCAGUCUGAGGACACAUACUGUAGACCAUGUGUCUGCCUGUGUUGAUGGACAUCUCAACUGACCUAUCUGUCCCAUGCAGACUGGGAUACAUUUUAAUUCUGGGAUGAUGGCAGGGGAUGUUCAGCAAUCUGGUCAGACGUAUGAUUAUGUAGGCAAGCUUGCAUGGCACCAGGGAGGGCACCGGUCCACCAUCACGCAGGAGGGCAAGGCCUUAGAGCCGGACCAAAUCCAACCAAAACAGAGCACCAAGUCAGGGUGGUUUAGUAGCUGGUUCAAACCCAAACCCAAAGAGGAACAAAGUGUUGCGUCUCUGGAUGACGACUCAGCAGAACCAGUUCCCACUAUGGAGGCUCCUCCCACCCUAUGUUCUUUCCCUCCCCCACCUACUAUCAACACCCUUGCAGCUAAUUGUCCCACACAGCCUACAUCUGCUGGGAUCAACCCCUUUUCUCGAAAAGCAGGAUUUGUUAUGCCAUAAACAUGGAAUAACCCUGAAGCAAAAGAGAAGCACAACCACAUCAACAGAAGGAUAACAUGCUGGCCCUUUAAAUCAGCCUAAACUGGGACUGUGUCAGUGUAUUAACACUGAUCAGGCUCACAAUAUCCGCCUGACCACAACCCAGAUAUCUAUUUUUGGAAGUUCUUUAAUGGGGCUAGUACUUUGACAUCAUGUGUUGCGUUGCUUCACAUUGGCUCGUAGGCUGCAUGUGCAGGCAGAGGGAGUUAGUCCAGGCUUUUAAGGGCUUGGCUCAGUGUUUUCUGAGGGAACUAAACAGCUGAGUUCUGGUUCCUCUGAGAUGAUGGGCGGAAAAUUGCCGGGUUGGAAUGCUGUAAGUUAGCAGAAGCUGUGAAUGUGGUCAGCUUAAUCUCACAAAAAAGUUUGGAGCAAGUCUAAUUUCUCUUUAGUGAGACUUUCUAGCUAUACAACCGUGAUUCAUUUUCAAACAGACCUAUCUUUGUCUAGUAUUUUGAUUUGAGAUGUACAUUUUAAAGUUAAUUUUAAAUACCAAGGUCCAAGACAAUUUAUGUCUUUCAGGAGCUCUUACUCUUAUGAGAUGUUCUGGCUCACAAAAACCAGAGCUUGUGCAAAGCUACUGGGGCUGCCAGUGAAGUUGAUGGGGGCCAGGACAUGUUGGUUGGACACUGAGACACUAUUCUCAUCUAAUAGGAGAGAAAGCUGAUAUGACAAUUUUUAAAACUCAUAGACAAAUCAUUACAAAUUCUGUACUAGCAUUUGUGACAAAACCAUUAAAAAAGAUUUAAAAACUGUUAAUUCACAUACCGUUUGCAAUUUUAAGCUAUACAAGCAAAUCAUUCUUAUGCUGGAGUAUGCCCACACCAUUCCAAGUGAAAAAAGCUGGUGAGGUUUUACAUUUAAAAUGUUUGGUAAGUAUUAAUGUAUUAUAUAUUAAUGCAUUAACACAGAACUGAACCACAAUAUCAGAAGUGUCCCAACCCCCAUCUAUUCUUGGAUGUCCUUUCAAUGGACCAGUAUUUUGAUAUGUUGGGUUGGUGCCCAUUAUUAGGCUAACCAGGCAGGCAGCAGGAGUGGGGCCAGUCGUUUAGGGGCUUGGCUCAGUGUCCUGAGGGAACAGCUGAUGUCUGGUUCCUCGAAGAUAGAAAGAAAAUUUCCUGGGUUGGACACUGCAAUGUUGCAAAAGUAGCAAGGUUGUUCUACUAAAUAAUUCAUGUAAUCACAAAAAAAGAUUCAAGAACAAUCCAGUCCCAAGUUCUUUUGGAGCUAGUCUCAUGUCCCAUUGGUAAAAUGUUAUAACCACAAACGACGACUCCUGUUCUAACCCAAUUUCAGUUUUCAGGUGGAAAUUGAAGAUUGGUAGAGGCCUACUACUCUGUAUUUGUCAAACAUUGUUUGAAUUCACAGCAGAUUUUAAGAGCAAAUAAAAAUAGCAUUCUGGUCUUGGCACAUUCUUGUCUUGGCACAUUCUGGUCUUGGCACAUCCAGUCGACCACCCCUCCCAGAUAAUGUGGGUAGGUUAGCCUAAAUUAUUAGAUUAAUGUGGAUACAUUUUUAAAUUGUUGAAUAGUAAUUCAGUGUUGUUCAACAUUAAAGCAGUAGUUAUUUCACCAAACCUAGACACACAGUAGUUUUAGUAAAGAACAUGAAGUUUAUUAUCAUGAAUGAAAACCACCCUGUGAAGUUAAAAAAUCUAUUUAAUCUGUAGCCCGAUAAACUGCAUACUUUCCCUAAUUGUAGUGGAGACACAACAUUACAUUAUUUCAAAUUUACCAGUGAUUUUAUCUUUACUGAGAGAUUUGAGCAACAGAAAUUAGGUGUAACCGCACUGUAAAACCCAUGAAUCACAGUAUUAAUCCCCCUAUAAAACUCAAAAGAUUUGUUCAGUGUAGUUAAUGGCUAGCUUGCAAAGUACAAUGUAAAGAAUAAUAGCUACUAUCUGAUGGCACUAACACUAACAUUGUAAAAAACAAGUUGAAAAUAGAGACUUUACAGGACUUUCUUUCAGCAGGUUUUGCAAGGGUGGAUUUAUUGCCUCUUACUUGAUGUCAGACAUGAUGUUUGUAUACUGUAGUCUCUGAUUGUUUCGUAAUUGUCUGAUAAAUCUGUCCUCCUCGUCUCCUUCCCUGAAUCUGCAGUGAUUAGAAGUAUAUGCUAAUGUAUUCUUUUGACAAAUUUGUGCAUUUGUUUGAAAAGUAAAUUUUGAUGUACAUUUUCAGAGAAAUAUACAGAUUUCCUCCCUGAGAAAAUAAUUCUCUAAUACAUAUUAUCAUUCUUGCAAUUUAACAACAGGCUCCUUAGCUUGAAUUCCACUACCAAGACUCCAUGUCACAUUCCAAAGAUGGAGAUUGGUGUAUUACUUAAGGAGACUGGUGCAUAAGAGACAGAGCCUACUACUGAGGCCAAACAGCCAGGAAUACAUUGUUCCUCAAAGUGGUGACUAUAACUGUGAGAAAACUGAAUAGAAAAGCAAUUCACAAACUCUAAUAGUUGUAUUCUGUUUACAUAACUCCAGACUCUCCUGUGGAAUAGUCAGUGGAACAGUUUUAUUGGCUGAUGGUCUUGUGUGUUAUUGCCUGUCCCCAGGUUCCAUUAACAGGAAACGAGGAAGGGAUAUAUACAAUGCUUUUUCAUUUUCGAUUUUUCCAAAAUGCUGCCUUAGACUGUAUAUUGUUUUACAUUGUAAUUGUAAGAACAUUCAUUCAGGACAUUAUUUAUAAAGGUUUAUUUAAUCAGACGUUUUAUAGAUAGGUUUACAAUAGUUUUUAAAGAAACUACAUGCAAAUCAUGUAUAGCCUCUGGAAUUUGUAAAUAUUGUUCUGAAAUAUAUACAAAUAAAACUUAAAAUCUUAAAUGUAAUUGAGUGUUGCAUGUUGGUUUGAUACGUGUUUUAUCUAUUUACAGUGCCUCUGAAAAAACAUUCAGACUCCAUCAAUUUCUUUAAAUGUUGUUGUGUUAUACUGUAGAGCUAAUUUAUAAUUGAACAUUUUAAUUUGGUACAUAAGCAUUCAGAACCUUUAUUCAGGACUUUGUAAAUGUAUCUUUAUCAGCGAUCACAGUUUAGGGCAGAGGUGUCAAACCAGUUCCACAGAGGGCCAAGUGUCUGCAGAUCUUUGCUCUCACCUUGUGCUUGAUUGGUUAAUUAGGACACUAUUUGGUCUCAGUUGGGCACCAAUUGAAAGGAAAAACUAAAAACCAGCAUAUACCCGGCACCCUGUUGAACCGGUUUGACCCCUCUGAUUUAGAAUGUUCUUGGUUUGCUUCUACCAGCUUUGGUCAGUUUUUUCAAUUCGUCCUUGUAGAUCCUCUCAACCUCUGUCAGAUUGGAUGGGAAGUGUUGGUUAACUACAUUCUUCAAGUCUCUCCACAGUUGUUCAAUUGGGUUCAUGCCUGGGUUUUGGCUGGGCCACUCAAAAAAAUACACAGACGUCCUGAAGCCCCUCAAGCAUUGUCUUGGCCUGGUGCUUUGGGUCAUUGUCGUGUAUAUAGGUGAAUCUUUGCCCCAUUCUAAUGUGCUGUGUGCAUUACUAUGGCAUGAUGCUCCCACCGACAUGCUUCACCACAGGGAUGGAAUUACGUAGAUGGUGAGCUGUACCUUGUUUUCACCAGACGUAGCACUUGGCUAUCCGGCAUCUUUUUCCUCAUGCUCUCAUGUGACGUCACGUCCCAGUUACUCAGGAGGGGCUUCCUUCUAGGCAACUCUUCAGAAAGCCCUUUUUGCACGGCUACUUAGUCUUGUUAAUUAGAGUAUUGGUGUUUCCAAACUUCAAUUCAAUUUCCCAAUGAUGCAGCCCACUGUUCUCUUGGGAACUGUCAAUACUUGACAUGCUGCUGGGGAUUGUUGCUGGAAGUAGCCACUGUAAGUAUUUGGUAGAACACCAAAUAUUGGCACUUAUUGUCCAUGUAGCCAUAAAGGGUCCUUAGCCAGGUUAAUAUUCUAGAUCAUAUACUUUGUCAUGUGGUGUUAAAAAUGGCUUCCAACCAAUUCCUCAUAAGAUUCAGCCAGUAUGUAUUGGCUUGGGUCAUGCUCCUGCAGCCAGUUACAUUCAAGGGACUGAUGUUGUUUCUGAAAAUUAUUAAAAACUUUCAUUAAUGUCUGCCUUUCCCUGACUUUCUCUUUGUCUGAGUCAGUAGUUACAGAUGAGGCUGGAAGGAAAUUAUCUCUCAUCCAGUAAGCGUUAAAUCCAACUGAUUGGGUUGCAUACCUCCAUGGCAGCCACACACAUUUCUGUGAGUUAUUUUGGAAAAUCCCGAACUGAUCCACCUCGGCUUUUAUGCCACAAAGUGGCAGAACAUAAUGUAGAUGACUAACCAUCUCUCCAACAACAACAUAAUACUAGUGUAUACAUACUAGGACCUUAAUAAGGCACGUGAUAUUAGCACUGUGGUAGUACUGCAAGUUAAUAACUGUAUAGCAUCUUUCAUAUUUCAAGUUAUACAUUGAUUGUUCAUUUAUACCUAGUCACAACAGAUAUUAAUUAAGGGCUGGUAAAUUUGCGAUCUAACCACCUAUCAUAGAUGAAUGUCCUGUAUGGCCAGUCAGAUGUGAAUCCUUCAACCAUUCAUCCUUUAAGUUUUCAUUUUGGGAUGAAGGCCAUUAUCUACUUCCUGGGUAAGCUUUUAUGUCUGCAAAAGUAUAGAGGUAAUUUAGUGAGAAAAAUCUCAACUAGCUUAGAAAAAUGCUGGAAAUCUACAGGAUAUCAAAUGAUAUCCAGGAGUUCAUCUGACUAUGGAGAACUACAUAAAGGGCCAAAAUCCUGACACAUUAUCUUCUAUCUCGACAGCUUAGAAUAGUGACCCAGUGUUCGGUCAACGUGUCCUGGCCCCCACACAUUAGACUGGCAGCCACAGGUUGAGUUUUACCAAGAAGCACACUAUUCCCUAAAUAGUGGACUACUUUAGUGCACUACAUAGGGAAUAUGGUGUAAUUUGGCACACAGAGGACCUAUACAAACACUGUUAGAGUCCACCCUGAGAUUGGAAGGUUGGGACUUCAAUCCCCCGCUGAGUCAGAUGACUAAAAAUGAGACCCGAUGUGUUCCUGAUUGGUAUUCAGUGAAAUAGAGAUAGAUCGGGGGUAAGGCCCUG